This 1304-nucleotide long non-coding RNA is filed under the name Vombatus ursinus (common wombat). Its description in RNAcentral is "lncRNA (ENSVURG00010015174.1)". The record is from RNAcentral. Lineage: Eukaryota; Metazoa; Chordata; Mammalia; Diprotodontia; Vombatidae.
GCUCCGGCCCUGGGCGGAGCCUACACGGCUCACCUUUAUUUAAUACGUCUACGCUUUACACCGUGUUUUCAAGUCAUACGACAUUUAUUAGGCGCCUACUAGCCUCCAGGAAGACCGGAGGGUCGAGGGUGCCGAGGGUCCCUGCAGUAGCCAACGUUGAGCGCGCCCCGUACUCGGAUGGAAGGAAGAUUCGGACUGGAGAAGGCACUUGACAGCCCCCAGAGCGCAUGCGCGAGCGCCUCUCUGACCUCCUCCUCCUCCUCCUCCUCUGGCACUUUGGUUUCUCCCAGCACUUCCGGAGGUUCAGAGGCUUACGUGAUCGCCGGGAGUGCACGCCCGCUUCCUGCUUCCGGCCCGUGCGGAAGUGACGUUGUCGGCUCUCUGUUCCCUUUGCACGCGGCUGUCGGUUGCGGAGUGAGCUCGCGGCUAGAGGAUUAUGCCCGGUAAGCUUCUGUCAGAGGCCGAAGUCGAGUCGGAGGCGCCCAUGGAGGCGACGGAGCAGACGCGGAAGCACAAACAAAAGAAAGAUAAAAAAGAGAAAUCAAAAAAUGAGAAGCCAGAAAAAAAGGGCAAGGUAGAGACUGAGGAACUUGAUUCCCCUAAGCCCAAGAAGGUAAAAAGGGAGGAGCUUCCAGAAGAAGUCAUUUCUCCAAAGCCCAAAAAGGCCAAGAAGAAAGAACAGCCCCCAGAAGAUGAGGAAGACUCUUCCCCUAAAUCCAAAAAGGCCAAAAAGAGCAAGGAGGGGUCUGGGGAGGAGCCCAGGAGGCUGAAAGAGAAGGAGGAUGCCUCUAGCAAUGACAUCUGCUCUAAGGCAAAAAAGAGCAAAGAGAAAGAAGAGCUUUCUGAGAAACCGAAGAAGGCCAAGAAGAAGGAGGGAGAAGUAAAUGGAGACACAGGAGAGGAAAGGCCAAAGUCACAGAGGGCAUCUGUGACUAAUGGACUGCCCCACUCCAAGCAUGCGUCUGAUUCUGAUUCUGAGGAGUCAUCCAGUGAGGAAAGUGACAGCGAGGCUGAGCAGGAAAAUGAUCUUCAUAAAAGAGUAGAAAGCCAUGCUCUUAGUUCUAAGGGAUUAAAAUCCCAUUUGCAAACUGGACUGACAAAACAGUUUAAAGGAGAAGAUGAUGAAGAAGAAGAAGAUGAUGAUGAUGAUGAUGAUGAAGAAGAAUUGGAGAAACCCAAAAAAGGUGAAAAGAAGGAAAAUGAGAAAGAUUCAAAAUCUGAAGACACUGAGGUACGUCUAGACUGGCUAUUCUGUGGACUUGCUACAUUUCAGGCAUUUUCUAGGAAUAGAAUUUAAAUGUAAA